GAUCCCGUAGCUCAGCAGGGAGAGCGNNUUGACAGGGUGGAGGUCGUGAGUUCGAACCUCUCCGGGAUCA
RNAcentral lists this transfer RNA (70 nucleotides) under Bacillus toyonensis. RNAcentral describes it as "tRNA-Ser". It matches the Rfam family "tRNA". From Rfam's summary of the family: Transfer RNA (tRNA) molecules are approximately 80 nucleotides in length. Their secondary structure includes four short double-helical elements and three loops (D, anti-codon, and T loops). Lineage: Bacteria; Bacillati; Bacillota; Bacilli; Caryophanales; Bacillaceae. The record is from RNAcentral.